GGAAUAUUGGUCAAUGGACGAGAGUCUGAACCAGCCAAGUAGCGUGAAGGAUGACUGCCCUAUGGGUUGUAAACUUCUUUUAUAUGGGAAUAAAGUUUUCCACGUGUGGAAUUUUGUAUGUACCAUAUGAAUAAGGAUCGGCUAACUCCGUGCCAGCAGCCGCGGUAAUACGGAGGAUCCGCGCGUUAUCCGGAUUUAUUGGGUUUAAAGGGAGCGUAGGCGGGUUGUUAAGUCAGUUGUGAAAGUUUGCGGCUCAACCGUAAAAUUGCAGUUGAUACUGGCAUCCUUGAGUACAGUAGAGGUAGGCGGAAUUCGUGGUGUAGCGGUGAAAUGCUUAGAUAUCACGAAGAACUCCGAUUGCGAAGGCAGCCUGCUGGACUGUAACUGACGCUGAGGCUCGAAAGCAUGGGUAGCGAACAG
This 420-nucleotide ribosomal RNA is filed under the name uncultured bacterium. RNAcentral describes it as "bacterial SSU rRNA". It matches the Rfam family "Bacterial small subunit ribosomal RNA", at positions 358 to 775 of the family's 1533-position model. The record is from RNAcentral.